Esox lucius (northern pike) is the source of this 692-nucleotide long non-coding RNA. RefSeq lists it as uncharacterized. The transcript has 3 exons. The record is from RefSeq and is a predicted model, not a curated record. Lineage: Eukaryota; Metazoa; Chordata; Actinopteri; Esociformes; Esocidae.
GGGCAGUUGGGCCACGGGUGAUGGAUGGCCUAACAGAAGCUGGGUCAAUUAGCCAGGGUCAGAGACAUGGUUUCUGAGAUAGCUAGACACACAUCUGUGUCCUCUCCUCCACACAGUGGCAAAACAUCAUGAGCAUCAGAUCGAGGUACCAUACGAUGAAGGAGACAGUGAUGUAUGCUGGGGACUCUAGAGACCAUGGUAUCCCGCAAUGCCGUAUCUGAACCCCCACUUGGGAACUGUGGGGGGAAGAGAAAGCCAACCAGAGAAAGUGAAAUGAAGAGGAUGGAGACAGAGUUUGUAUGUUGGUGAUUCUACAGAGGUGGUGUAAAUUGCUGUCCCAGCACCUCCUCCCCACCAUAUUUCUGUGGAGAGUGGAUAGCCCAAAACCUGACUCAAAAAACUGUUGAAAAAUAAUGCAACGCAUGAUUUAUUAAUCAACAUAAUUGUUUCAUCUUGAGUUGUUCUUGAAUCAAAUGCAAAGGUAGUGGCAGAUUUUUUUUUGUUGUUUAUUUUUAAACACCUUUCUCCAAAAAAUGAAUCUGGUAUCACUACCAUAAUGUACCCAAUCAAAAUGUAUGUGCCUUAAGCCACACCUCAAGAAAUAUUGAAAAGCAUUUUGGAGCAAGUUAGUAAAUCUCCAUGUCCAAACCCUCCAUGAGACCCCAGGGCUAAUCCGUGGGCAGGAUUUGAAC